Molecule: ribosomal RNA, 452 nt
Filed under: uncultured bacterium
Lineage: Bacteria
Description: bacterial SSU rRNA
Rfam family: Bacterial small subunit ribosomal RNA
Source: RNAcentral
CGCUGGCGGCGUGCCUAACACAUGCAAGUCGAACGGAGUACCUUCGGGUACUUAGUGGCGAACGGGUGAGUAACGCGUGAGAAACCUGCCUUUCAGUGGGGGACAACAGUUGGAAACGACUGCUAAUACCGCAUAAUGUUAUUUGAGGGCAUCCUCGAAUAACCAAAGCUUUAUGUGCUGAAAGAUGGUCUCGCGUCUGAUUAGCUAGAUGGCGGGGUAACGGCCCACCAUGGCGACGAUCAGUAGCCGGUCUGAGAGGAUGAACGGCCACAUUGGGACUGAGAUACGGCCCAGACUCCUACGGGAGGCAGCAGUGGGGAAUAUUGGGCAAUGGGGGAAACCCUGACCCAGCAACGCCGCGUGAAGGAAGAAGGCCUUCGGGUUGUAAACUUCUUUUACCAGGGACGAAGGACGUGACGGUACCUGGAGAAAAAGCAACGGCUAACUACGUG